RNAcentral lists this transfer RNA (77 nucleotides) under Thomasclavelia ramosa. RNAcentral's name for it is "tRNA-Arg". It matches the Rfam family "tRNA". Rfam says of the family: Transfer RNA (tRNA) molecules are approximately 80 nucleotides in length. Their secondary structure includes four short double-helical elements and three loops (D, anti-codon, and T loops). The record is from RNAcentral. RNAcentral also lists the same sequence under 1 other name. Lineage: Bacteria; Bacillati; Bacillota; Erysipelotrichia; Erysipelotrichales; Coprobacillaceae.
GUCCCAGUACCUCAGUAGGAUAGAGGGUCCGCCUCCUAAGCGGAACGCCGCAGGUUCGACUCCUGUCUGGGACGCCA